This 82-nucleotide non-coding RNA is filed under the name Streptococcus agalactiae BV3L5. Lineage: Bacteria; Bacillati; Bacillota; Bacilli; Lactobacillales; Streptococcaceae. The record is from RNAcentral.
GAAAGCCGUGUAAGGGAAAACCUUACGCACGGUUUGACGAGGGGUUUCUGAGGAGAUGGCUCAAAUCAGCGACCUACUCUAC